Apis mellifera (honey bee) is the source of this 3730-nucleotide long non-coding RNA. RefSeq lists it as uncharacterized. NCBI's taxonomy places the organism in Eukaryota, Metazoa, Arthropoda, Insecta, Hymenoptera, Apidae. The transcript is spliced from 2 exons. The record is from RefSeq and is a predicted model, not a curated record.
CAAGCGUUUAAUAUAUUAAUAUAUGUAUAUGUAUGUGCGUAUGUAUAUAUAUAUAAUAUGCAUAUAUGUAUAUAUAUAUAUACAUAUGCAUAUGCAUAUUACAUAAUCAUUAUAUCGUUCAUUUAGUCAUUCAGUUGGUUCUAUUUGGAACCGAGUGGAUUUGUGUCAAAUAUCUUCGUCAGUGUUUCGAUAAUAUAUUUAUUUUUAUUCUGGAAUUUAACUCCACUUUAUAGUAUUUCUUAAUAUAAUCUCGCGAUUCUUUUAUAUUUUUAGUCUUUAUGCUGGCAUCUUAUUUUUUUUUUUUUUUGUUCUUGUAAAAUUAUGAUUGUACUGGGAAGUACAUGAUCGAUGUCUGUGCGUGUGUGUAUGCGUGAAUGGACGCGCGUAUGAGUGUAUGUGUGUGUGUACAUAUAUAUAUUUAUAUUUAUAUAUAUUAUAUAUAUAUAUACACACAUAUAUAUAUAUGAAAGAAAGAAAGAGAAAGAGGAGCGUCGUUUUAUUGGAUGCAGAAUUCGAAUUCGCCGUUUCCUCCCACAAAAGAUAUUCCAUUUUAUUAAAUAUUUUGAAUCGGUGAAACGAGAUUCAUCAAGUGCCACAUUAUUUAAUUUUUUUCGAGGCUGAAUAUUUUUUCGUAAUAUUCCUAUAAUUAUUAUGAUAUUCUCGUCCCUUGUACCUUUUUCCGAUAUAAUAAUCUCGUCGAUCCAGAGAUAAACGAAAUAAAAAUAAAAAAGGAAGAAAAGAAUAAGAAGAAGAAAAAAAAAAAGGAAUGAAAAAACUCACCCACUGAUUUUUCAGUUUUUCUGGUACAAUCGGCGACAGCAUUAGUGAUUCGUUGUAUAUAUAGAGCGGUAGUAAUUGUUAUGUAGGUAAAUGGCUGGUGUUGUAUACACAUUCGUUCUUUUCCCUAAUUAUUCGAAUUAUCUUGUAACCUGUAACCAUAACUCGGAGCGUUGAGCGGACGGCGCUCAAUAAAAAUUUGUCGUACGCUGUCGUUGUAUGCGAAUGAAAAUGGCAAAAGCGAGAUGACGAUAACGUUCUGUAAAUAUAUAGGAGUGCCUGAAACCACGUUGAGAGUGAAUGAGAUACAGAGAGAGAAAGAGGGAGAAAAAGCGAGAGAAAGAGAAAUGGAGAGUGGCAAAUACUUUUCCAGCGGUGCAAGAACAAAUGAAUGAAGCCGUUGAAAAAGCAAUCACAGAAUAAGAGGGGGAAAAAAAAAAAGGAGAAAAAAAGAACAGAAUAAGAUUAUUCUUUGCUCCUUGGCGCGUUGCGAUCAAACCUGAUCGAUUUUGCAAAUUAGAUCAAAGGGAAAAAAAGAAGAUUAAACGAUGUGUGAAGCUAGUGAUCGUAUGCACAAAAUCAGCUGUUGCUUUUUAAGGAAAUCUAAUUUUUUUAUUUACUUAUUAAUUACAAUGAGAGCUUUUUUAGGAGUUAUUUUUAACAAUUUGACGAUUGGACCUCAAAUGGACUCUCAAAUGUAUGCGACAAAUCAUCAUAUUUGGAUUAACGCGAAAAUGCAAAUCCUGUAUCCUUGAACAAGUAUUCCUGCUUUUUGUUCUUGACUAAUGUAGAUAUCGUAGCAAUCAUCAUUCUCGUGGGAUUGCUUACUUUAUCGUCGCUAUAUAGCGAGAAUUACGGGCUCACGUGUAACAAGUAAAUUGUUCGGGCAGCCAUUUUGAAAAUUGAUGUUUGCCAACACAGUCGUUCGUCGUAUAGAAAAUUAAUUCUUGUCUAGUUAACCGUGUGGAUCGAUUAAAUGUUUGAAUAGCAAUAUUUUACGAGUAUUACAAAAUCAAAUGCGCUAAUGUUUUCUUCUACCUAAUAAUAUCUAACAGUAAAUCCUCGUCAAUAAUUCAAAAACGUCAAUGCGUUAUCAGCUUCCACACGAUGUUAUUCAACAAAUAAAAGGAUUUAACGUUGAACAGUAUUAAGUACAAGAAAUUAAAUAUGAAGAAAUGUCUAGGAAUCGUUACCAUCUAAUCAAUAACAAAUGAACGAGGGAGCCCGUAAUUUAUCCUUUCUUUCAUCAUCCGCUCUUCCCUUCGAUUGUUCAUUUCCUAUUAAUUUUUUCAUUACGUUAUUUCAGUAUUUUUCCACACAGCGCUUAGUUCCUGAGAGCCUUCGCGCCAAGGUAGUCAUUUCUCAUUUUCAUAAGGGAGUGGAGCACGGACGAGGCGUCGAUCGAUUUACCGCAUUUUUGCACUAUUUUUUCAAUCUGUAAAAAGAUAUUUAUUUGAAAAUAAAUAACUCGAAAAAAAAAACGUUCGGCGCCUCGCGAUCUUCUUAUGUCUGCGUAUUGCGAUCGUAUCCUUUCUUUAUUCUCUGUCAACAUUUCCUUAAUUUAUUCUUCUGCUCAGGUUCAGUCAUGCGAAGCGAAAUGACUAGAAAAAAAAAAAAUGACAUUCACCUCGAAACAGGAUUCCAGUAAAGCUGCUUGUUUCGUUUCACGUAAUAUCCGAAUGGAAAAAUAUAGGUCGAAAAGUAACCUUGAAAUGGACUGACAUACCGUGUCAUUGCAAUCGUCGAGUUUCGAAUUAUUAUGCAUUAACCGGUCCAUGGAAAUUGUUGACACUUAUCUCAGACGGUUAAUUGAUUGAAAAAUUUGCAUAGAUCCCUUGCAGUAUUAGAAGUUUCACAUAUCUUUUCAAGACGAGUACAAAAGCCCGAAUACAAAUUUUAUAAAGGAGAAAAUUCUGCAAAUAAUUAUCUGAUACUUGUUUAAUAAAAUGAUUAUUUAUAAUAAGAUCGAAUGUAAUUGCAUCCAGUUGAAAAAUUUAUAUCGAUGAAAUAUAUGUCGAUGAAAAAUAUUUCGUCACAUCGGCAAAUGCAUAAAACAAGUGAAACUCGUUGAUGAAGAAAGUAUUGUCGGUAAUCUCAAGGCAACCCGGUCAAAGAAUAUUGUUUUUCGGUUGGUCAAGAUAUACCAAGAUUUGAAAUGCACUUUUAUAUAUAUAUAUACAUAUACAUAUAUAUAUAUAUAUAUAUAUAUAUAUAUAUAUAAUGAUUUCAUCGGUAACUUACAUCAUUAUGUCUGUAUAAGAAAAAGAAAGAUUCGAAGGACUAAUUUCUAUGAAACACGUGUGUCUGAUGUUUCAUUAGACUUAUUUUGUAACGUGAUAGUCAAGCCGGUCUUCAUGCUUCCAAAAAUGUCAGAACGUGAAAUGAACGUUAUUAUACAAGUCAUUUUCUGAGAAGUUAAAAUUUCGAAAGUUCAAGGUAAAGCGUUUCUCCCGUAUUAAUUUUUUUUUUAAUAAUUCCAACAAUCGAUACUUAGAAAUUUAUUAGAAAUUAUGUAGAAAUUGCAUUCCUUUCUCUAUUUCUUUUCUUCCUUCCUUUGUUUCUUUAAUCCUCUAGAUUUUCAAAAUAAUGUCUUAUUUGUAUGGAUGUUUUUUGAGGCUUCUUGUGCACGUCUUUGAUUCCAUUAUCCGGCAGAUAUUAACGUUGUGAUAUUUUAUAAUAUUGUAACGGAACUCGUUAUCACUUCUGUAUUAUAUUACAUGAAUGAUAUUAUUUUAUAAUUAUUUCGGAACUGGCUUCUGGAACACUGCGGGAAAAUGCGGCUCUCCGGCGACCUGAAUGGUCCCUUUCUUUUUUUUUUUUUUUUUUUUUUUUGUUUGUUUUUUAUUUAUAAUUGUUGACGUUUUGUCUGAUUCUUAUUUUGUGAAAUGGAUGCGAAACUAUCAUGUGCUGAUAAUACUUUGAAAAUCAAAAAAAAAAAAAAAAAAAAAAAAAA